CGGGACUUAGUGCCGACGCUAACGCAUUAAGCACUCCGCCUGGGGAGUACGACCGCAAGGUUGAAACUCAAAGGAAUUGACGGGGGCCCGCACAAGCGGUGGAGCAUGUGGUUUAAUUCGAAGCAACGCGAAGAACCAUACCAGGUCUUGACAUCCCGAUGCCCGCUCUAGAGAUAGAGUUUUUCUUCGGAACAUCGGAGACAGGUGGUGCAUGGUUGUCGUCAGCUCGUGUCGUGAGAUGUUGGGUUAAGUCCCGCAACUAGCGCAACCCUUAUUGUUAGUUGCCAUCAUUAAGUUGGGCACUCUAGCGAGACUGCCGGUAAUAAACCGGAGGAAGGUGGGGAUGACGUCAAAUCAUCAUGCCCCUUAUGACCUGGGCUACGCACGUGCUACAAUGGUUGGUACAACGAGUCGCAAGCCGGUGACGGCAAGCUAAUCUCUGAAAGCCAAUCUCAGUUCGGAUUGUAGGCUGCAACUCGCCUACAUGAAGUCGGAAUCGCUAGUAAUCGCGGAUCAGCACGCCGCGGUGAAUACGUUCCCGGGCCUUGUACACACCGCCCGUCACACCACGAGAGUUUGUAACACCCAAAGUCGGUGAGGUAACCAUUUAUGGGG
RNAcentral lists this ribosomal RNA (615 nucleotides) under uncultured bacterium. Its description in RNAcentral is "bacterial SSU rRNA". It matches the Rfam family "Bacterial small subunit ribosomal RNA", at positions 834 to 1448 of the family's 1533-position model. The record is from RNAcentral.